This 1710-nucleotide ribosomal RNA is filed under the name human gut metagenome. RNAcentral's name for it is "bacterial LSU rRNA". The stretch from base 475 to 1710 matches the Rfam family "Bacterial large subunit ribosomal RNA", at positions 1 to 1983 of the family's 2925-position model. The record is from RNAcentral.
ACAAGUCACGACAGACGGUCCCGGAUAUGAUCUCGGACUGACGCCCGGUGCCGGUGGCGGAGUGUCCAAUUGGGUCGGUGGGGUGUACGAACGGAGCUUUGCCAGUCCGAAUCUUAGUUGGGAAACGGAACGGAAGUUGAAUGUUGGGUUGGAUGUCGGCUUGUGGGAAGGCAGGAUUGAUUUUUCUGUCGACUAUUUUAGUAACCGUAGAAAAGAUAUUCUGAUUCAGCGGCAGACCAUUUCCGCUGUUACGGGUUUCCGGACCGGGAUGUAUCAGAAUUUCGGUAUUACGACGAAUAAAGGGGUGGAUGCAAAUCUCAUUUUCCGACAUCAGUGGGGACCGGUCGGUCUUUCUGCUCGCGGAAAUGUAACGUAUGCAAGGAAUGAAAUCAUUGAAUGUGAUGAAAUUACUCCUAAAUAUGGUUGGAUGUCACAAGUGGGAACCUCUAUUGGUCAGCAAUCUCUUUAUAUUGCGGAGGGGCUGUAUACUCCGGAUGACUUUGAUGUGACGGAAAGGGGAGACGGUUCCCGGACUUAUCAAUUGAGGGAAGGAUUGCCGAAACCUUCGGCAAAUGUGGCUCCGGGUGAUAUCAAGUAUAGGGACUUGAACAAGGAUGGCAUUAUCGAUUCCUACGAUAAGACCUACGACAGCGGAUUUUACUCUACGGGUAUAAGGGGGCGUCAAAGCUUACCAAGAGAUAUCAAACUCCGAAUGCCGCAUAAAUGAUGUACGGGAGUCAGACUGCACGAGAUAAGUUGGGUAGUCAAAAGGGAAAGAGCCCAGACCUACAGCUAAGGUCCCAAAGUGUGUGUUAAGUGGAAAAGGAUGUGGGAUUUCGAAGACAACUAGGAUGUUGGCUCAGAAGCAGCCACACAUUAAAAGAGUGCGUAAUAGCUCACUAGUCGAGAGGUCCUGCGCCGAAAAUGUCCGGGGCUAAAACACAACACCGAAGCUUAGGAAUUCUUUUGAAUUGGUAGAGGAGCAUUGAAGACGGAACGAAGCCAUACCGAAAGGAAUGGUGGACUGUCUUGAAGAGAGAAUGCCGGAAUGAGUAGCGAGAUUGAAGUGAGAAUCUUCAAGGCCGAAUAUCUAAGGUUUCCAGGGUAAAGCUGAUCUGCCCUGGGUAAGUCGGGGCCUAAGGCAAGGUCGAAAGACGUAGUCGAUGGAUAACAGGUUGAAAUUCCUGUACUGCAUCAAAUCAGAAAUGUGGGGACACAUGAGGGAAGCAUGAGCCGGAAAAGGAAAGUCCGGUACAAGCGCAGCAGAGGACAGAUAGGCAAAACCGUCUGUCAACUCAAGGGCGCGAUGUGGAGCGAACCAAAGUAGCGAAGCAUGUGGAGCUUGUGUCGAGAAAAGCCGCUAUAGUGUUUGAUGUACCCGUACCGUAAACCGACACAGGUGGAUGAGGAGAGAAUCCUAAGGCCGGCGGGAGAAGCAUUGUUAAGGAACUCGGCAAAAUGACCCCGUAACUUCGGGAGAAGGGGUGCUCCAGAGAUGGAGCCGCAGAGAACUGGCCCAAGCAACUGUUUAGCAAAAACACAGGUCUAUGCAAAACCGAAAGGUGAGGUAUAUGGGCUGACGCCUGCCCGGUGCUGGAAGGUUAAGAGGAGAUGUUAAUCGCAAGGUGAAGCAUUGAAUUUAAGCCCCAGUAAACGGCGGCCGUAACUAUAACGGUCCUAAGGUAGCGAAAUUCCUUGUCGGGUAAGUUC